UAUAAAGCCUUUUUCAACUUACAAACAUAGUUCUGGUACUCCCCCUGAGCAACAAACCCAGGUGGUUGCUCCAUAUAGACCUCUUCGUGCAAAUCACCAUGAAGGAAGGCAUUUUUAAUAACCAACUGGAACAAUGGCCAAUCAAGGUUAGCAGCAAUAGAAAUCAAAACUCGAAUAGAUGAGAUCUUAGCAACCGGAGAGAACGUCUCAUCAUAAUCAACACCAUAGGUUUGUGUGUAGCCCUUAGCAACCAAUCGAGCUUUCAACCGAUCAACAGUCCCAUCAGGAUUGAACUUCGGAAUAUAAACCCAUCUAUUACCAACGAGGCGAAUACCAGGUGGUGAAGGAACAAGGUCCCAAGUCUGAUUCUCGUGUAAGGCUGCCAUUUCCAAUUCCAUAGCCUUUCGCCACUCAGGAUGAGAUAAAGCUUCUGUCACUGUCUUAGGUACAAAAACACCAGAAAGUUGGGAUGUGAAACAAGAAAAUGAAGGUGACAAUGAAUCAAGAGUGACAUAGUGGCUAAUAGGAUAUUUAGUUACACAAGUACGUUUACCUUUGCGGAGAGCAAUGGGCAAGGAUUCAGUAUCGGAACAGACGACACAAGUAGGAUCUGAAGACGGCAAGGCGCUGGAUGGGGCCACGGGUGGUGGUGUCUUAGAUCGUCUGGUAUAAACCUGUAAAGUAGGAGGUGGGUCCUUAUGAGAAGAUGGGGACCCUGGUAUAGUAGACGAAGACGAGACUGGUUCUGGAGUAAUGCCAACUGGUAGAUAUGGAACUGGUAAGCUAACGGGAUCCCGAGUAGAUUUGGG
RNAcentral lists this long non-coding RNA (809 nucleotides) under Olea europaea subsp. europaea. The record is from RNAcentral. Lineage: Eukaryota; Viridiplantae; Streptophyta; Magnoliopsida; Lamiales; Oleaceae.